GAUGAACGCUGGCGGCGUGCCUAAUACAUGCAAGUCGAGCGAACAGGCGAUGACAUUGCUCCUCUGACGUUAGCGGCGGGGGGGUGAGUAACAAGUGGAUCACCUUCCUGUAAGACUAGAAUAACUUCGGAAAGGCGGUAAUAAUAGAGGAUGAUAUAUUGAAACACAGGGUCCGAUGGUAAAGCAAGGGUUUGCUGUGACGUAUAGGUGGAUCAGCGGCGCAUUGGCUAGUUGGUAAGGUAACGGCUUAACAAGGCAACGAUGCGUAGCCGAGCUGAGAGGCUGAUCGGCCACACUGGAACUGAGACACGGACAAGACGCCUAGGGUAGGCAGCAGUAGGGAAGCAUGCGAAAAGGGCGAAAGCUUGACGGAGCAACGCCGCGUGAGUGAUGAAGGUCUGAGGAGCGUUAAACUGUGUUACUAGGUAGGAACAGAUGUGAAUCUAACUAUGCACGUCUUGACGGUACCUAAACAGAAAGCCACGGCUAACUACGUG
RNAcentral lists this ribosomal RNA (497 nucleotides) under uncultured bacterium. RNAcentral's name for it is "partial 16S ribosomal RNA". It matches the Rfam family "Bacterial small subunit ribosomal RNA", at positions 28 to 507 of the family's 1533-position model. The record is from RNAcentral.